AACGAACGCUGGCGGCAGGCCUAACACAUGCAAGUCGAGCGAGAAGGUACUUCGGUACUGGGCAGCGGCGGACGGGUGAGUAACGCGUGGGAAUAUACCUUUUGGUGGGGGACAACAGUUGGAAACGACUGCUAAUACCGCAUACGCCCUUCGGGGGAAAGAUUUAUCGCCAAAAGAUUAGCCCGCGUAAGAUUAGAUAGUUGGUAAGGUAACGGCUUACCAAGUCUACGAUCUUUAGCUGGUCUGAGAGGAUGAUCAGCCACACUGGAACGUGAGACACGGUCCAGACUCCUACGGGAGGCAGCAGUGGGGAAUAUUGCGCAAUGGGGGAAACCCUGACGCAGCCAUGCCGCGUGAGUGAAGAAGGCCUUAGGGUUGUAAAGCUCUUUCAAUAGUGAAGAUGAUGACGGUAACUAUAGAAGAAGCUCCGGCUAACUU
RNAcentral lists this ribosomal RNA (438 nucleotides) under uncultured bacterium. RNAcentral's name for it is "bacterial SSU rRNA". It matches the Rfam family "Bacterial small subunit ribosomal RNA", at positions 29 to 503 of the family's 1533-position model. The record is from RNAcentral.